This is a long non-coding RNA of Trematomus bernacchii (emerald rockcod), 913 nucleotides long. RefSeq lists it as uncharacterized. The record is from RefSeq and is a predicted model, not a curated record. Lineage: Eukaryota; Metazoa; Chordata; Actinopteri; Perciformes; Nototheniidae. The transcript is spliced from 3 exons.
UGUAGAUGGUACUGCAUUUGCAAAACUUGCUUUCCAGCCCCUUUGCCAGAGGGGCUGAAAGGCUCCCUAAAGUCUUGAUCAAAGCAGGGAGGUUUUUGACAUGCCCAGCGAACAAGUUAUUUGUCCCCUACCUCUAGUUGUUUCUGAAAUGUUUGCAAUCUCUAAUGGUGGAGGAGAAAGAGUAGAGACACUCCAGGAGAUCAACGCAGGAAAGUAAUCACCAACUGUGAGUGAUCUGUUGCCGAGGGGACACUACACCGGAGUUACAUAAGCAGAGGUGGAAGUGUUAGGCUAAAUCGCCUUGGUUUGACCUUCGCAAAUCGGUCGACGAUGCCAAUUAAUAUUUUUUCCCCAACUCCAGAAAACCUGUUUUGAAGCUCCUCCAGCAUUCUGUCGAGAACUGGAAAGAAGAGCCUUGUGUAUGUUUGAAUUUUCAUGUUCUCGAAAAGAAUCCAAUGCACGCUUCCAGUUUGUGUAUCCUGAGGUGGUGAGGGUGUCCCUUUGAUCCCUUGAUUGCUUUGGUUUGCCAUAUAGUCUACAACUAAAGCAGAUUGCUGCAUUGGCAGUGGUAGAAUAUUCAACCCAUUUAAAAGUAUCAAACCAACUUGGUUGAAAUGAUCUCUUUUGCUGGCCAAACAUGCCGGAUGGAAAACAGUGAUGUCUCACUUGCCUUGGCCCUGUAUCUGCAGUCCCUAAAUCAGUUACCCAGUUACCCAUUGACUCUUGUCUGUUCUGAUGUUCCUGUUCAUUGUUGUUCUUAUCUGUUGUAUCUCCUUCUUGUGUGUCCCUUUCUCCUGUUCUCCUUUCUUCAUCCUCUACUAUUUUUGGCUCAUCUGUGAUGACUGUGUAGGUAAACACAAACAAGUAUUUAAAAUCAGUUUCCAGCUCUGUCAAAUAAAUGAAUUUCAAGAUA